Molecule: ribosomal RNA, 720 nt
Filed under: Bacillus subtilis
Lineage: Bacteria; Bacillati; Bacillota; Bacilli; Caryophanales; Bacillaceae
Description: bacterial SSU rRNA
Rfam family: Bacterial small subunit ribosomal RNA
Source: RNAcentral
CAAAUUGGGGUCGGAUAAGCCCCCGCGCUGCAGCCGUGGAGAGGGUCAUUGGAAACUGGGGAACUUGAGUGCAGAAGAGGAGAGUGGAAUUCCACGUGUAGCGGUGAAAUGCGUUCAGAUGUGGAGGAACACCACUGGCGAAGGCGACUCUCUGGUCUGUAACUGACGCUGAGGAGCGAAAGCGUGGGGAGCGAACAGGAUUAGAUACCCUGGUAGUCCACGCCGUAAACGAUGAGUGCUAAGGGUUAUGGGGUUUCCGCCCCUUAUUGCUGCGGCUAACGCAUUAAGCACUCCGCCUGGGGAGUACGGUCGCAAGACUGAAACUCAAAGGAAUUGACGGGGGCCCGCACAAGCGGUGGAGCAUGUGGUUUAAUUCGAAGCAACGCGAAGAACCUUACCAGGUCUUGACAUCCUCUGACAAUCCUAGAGAUAGGACGUCCCCUUCGAGGGGCAGAGUGACAGGUGGUGCAUGGUUGUCGUCAGCUCGUGUCGUGAGAUGUUGGGUUAAGUCCCGCAACGAGCGCAACCCUUGAUCUUAGUUGCCAGCAUUCAGUUGCUCACUCUAAGGUGACUGCCGGGGACAAACCGGAGGAAGGUGGGGAUGACAUCCAAUCAUCAUGCCCCUUAUGACCUGAGCUACACACGUGCUACGAUGUACAGAACAAAUGGCAGCGAACCCGCUAGGUUCAUCCCAAUCCCACACAUCUGUUCUCGUUCGGA